Molecule: ribosomal RNA, 1881 nt
Filed under: human gut metagenome
Description: bacterial LSU rRNA
Rfam family: Bacterial large subunit ribosomal RNA
Source: RNAcentral
UCAAGCAAACAAGGGCGCAGGGCGAAUGCCUUGGCACUGGGAGCCGAUGAAAGACGUGAUAAGCUGCGAUAAGCUUCGGGGAGCUGCAAAUAAGCAUUGAUCCGGAGAUUUCUGAAUGAGGAAACUCACUCAGGUUCAUACCUGAGUACGUUGCACUGAAAUUUAAAAUAGGUGCAUCGGGGGAACCGCCUGAACUGAAACAUCUAAGUAGGGCGAGGAAGAGACAUCAAACGAGAUUCCGUAAGUAGUGGCGAGCGAACGCGGAAGAGGGCAAACCGGGAGUAGAAAUACUUCCGGGGUACGGACUGCUUUUAGGACUUAAUCUGUUAACCGAACGGCAUGGGAAGGCCGGUCAGAGAGUGUGAGAACCACGUAGGUGAAAAUGGAGAGAGCUGCGCAGAUUCCAGAGUACGGCCAGACACGUGAAACCUGGUCGGAAGAUGGGGGGACCACCCUCCAACCCUAAAUACUACCCAGUGACCGAUAGCGUAUAGUACUGUGAAGGAAAGGUGAAAAGCACCCCGGGAGGGGAGUGAAAGAGAACCUGAAACCCUGUGCCUACAAGCACCUAGAGCACGUCAAUGUGUGAUAGGGUACUUUUUGUAGAACGGUCCGGCGAGCGAUUGUAUGCAGCAAGGUUAAGGACUUAAGGUCUGGAGCCGAAGCGAAAGCGAGUUUGAAAAGGGCGUUAAGUUGCAUAUAAUGGGCCCGAAACCGGGUGACCUACCCAUGGUCAGGUUGAAGUGGAAGUAAAAUUCCAUGGAGGACCGAACCGACCUCCGUUGAAAAGGCGGCGGAUGAACUGUGGGUAGCGGAGAAAUUCCAAUCGAACCCGGAGAUAGCUGGUUCUCCCCGAAAUAGUUUUAGGACUAGCCUCAAGUUAGAUACCUGGAGGUAAAGCACUGAAUAGCCUAGCGGCCGAGAGGUUAGCGAAGCUUAUCAAACUCAGAAUGCCAGAGUAUUGAUGCUUGGGAGUCAGACAGUGUCAGAUAAAUGUCAUUGUCAAAAGGGAAACAGCCCAGAUCUACAGCUAAGGUCCCAAAGUCAGGUUAAGUGGAAAACGAUGUGAAGAUACGCAGACAACCAGGAUGUUGGCUCAGAAGCAGCCACUCAUUCAAAGAGUGCGUAAUAGCUCACUGGUCGAGCGUCUUUGCGCGGAGAAUUUAACGGGGCUAAACCUGACACCGAAGCUUAGGCAAUCCAGUAAUGGAUUGGGUAGGGGAGCGUUGUAUACGCGGAGAAACAGUAGCGUAAGCGGCUGUGGAGUGUAUAGAAGUGAGAAUGCCGGAAUGAGUAGCGCGAAUGCAGUGAGAAUCUGCAUGGCCGAAAGCCUCAGGUUUUUGGAGGAAGGUUCGUCCGCUCCAAGUUAGUCGGGAGCUAAGGUGAGGCCGGAAGGCGUAGCCGAUGCACAGACGGUAGAGAUUCCGUCACCACCAAAAGAGUUAAGCACAGGGACACAUUUGAAGUCUCAGAGCCGGGUGUUGGUUCCGGUAGAGAUCGAGGGAAGUUAGUACCGAAGUCUGAGAUGGAAGAUGGCGAGAAAAGCUGUGUGUAUUUCUGAGGUGCCCGUACCGCAAACCGACACAGGUAGGUAGGAAGAAGAUUCUAAGGCCAACGGGAGAAGGGUUGUUAAGGAACUCGGCAAAUUGACCCCGUAACUUCGGGAGAAGGGGUGCUCCAGAGAUGGAGCCGCAGAGAAUCGGCCCAAGCAACUGUUUACCAAAAACACAGGUUUGUGCUAAAUCGAAAGAUGACGUAUACGAGCUGACGCCUGCCCGGUGCUGGAAGGUUAAGAGGAGAUGUGCAAGCAUUGAAUCGAAGCCCCAGUGAACGGCGGCCGUAACUAUAACGGUCCUAAGGUAGCGAAAUUCCUUGUCGGGU